UGGGGAAUAUUGCACAAUGGGCGCAAGCCUGAUGCAGCCAUGCCGCGUGUGUGAAGAAGGCCUUCGGGUUGUAAAGCACUUUCAGCGAGGAGGAAGGGUAGUGUGUUAAUAGCACAUUGCAUUGACGUUACUCGCAGAAGAAGCACCGGCUAACUCCGUGCCAGCAGCCGCGGUAAUACGGAGGGUGCAAGCGUUAAUCGGAAUUACUGGGCGUAAAGCGCACUCAGGCGGUUUGUUAAGUCAGAUGUGAAAUCCCCGCGCUUAACGUGGGAACUGCAUUUGAAACUGGCAAGCUAGAGUCUUGUAGAGGGGGGUAGAAUUCCAGGUGUAGCGGUGAAAUGCGUAGAGAUCUGGAGGAAUACCGGUGGCGAAGGCGGCCCCCUGGACAAAGACUGACGCUCAGGUGCGAAAGCGUGGGGAGCAAACA
Molecule: ribosomal RNA, 427 nt
Filed under: uncultured bacterium
Lineage: Bacteria
Description: partial 16S ribosomal RNA
Rfam family: Bacterial small subunit ribosomal RNA
Source: RNAcentral